UCCUACGGGGCGCAGCAGUGAGGAAUAUUGGUCAAUGGCCGUAAGGCUGAACCAGCCAAGUCGCGUGAAGGAAGAAGGAUCUAUGGUUUGUAAACUUCUUUUAUAGGGGAAUAAAGGUAUCCACGUGUGGAUAUUUGCAUGUACCCUAUGAAUAAGCAUCGGCUAACUCCGUGCCAGCAGCCGCGGUAAUACGGAGGAUGCGAGCGUUAUCCGGAUUUAUUGGGUUUAAAGGGAGCGUAGAUGGGUUGUUAAGUCAGUUGUGAAAGUUUGCGGCUCAACCGUAAAAUUGCAAUUGAUACUGGCAG
This 305-nucleotide ribosomal RNA is filed under the name uncultured bacterium. RNAcentral's name for it is "bacterial SSU rRNA". It matches the Rfam family "Bacterial small subunit ribosomal RNA", at positions 337 to 639 of the family's 1533-position model. The record is from RNAcentral.